CAAAAAAAAAAAAAAAAAGCCACCACCACCAAAAAAAAAUCUAUUGGAUUAGGGACAGAAAAACCAAAACAUGUACCAACAAUAAGAUUGUAAAUGACUUAAUACAGAUUCUUGUCCAGAGAAGUUGUGAGGGAAACAAGGAAAGUAGAAUCUUUUGAUUGUAAGGGCAAAAUAAUAAAAGAGCAUCCACAAGGUCAUUAAUUUAAUUGGCAGCAGAGUAAAAGGAUUCUCCUGAAACAAUUACUUAGAAAUGAAAUGCUUCAUCAUGCAAACUAGCUGCAACAUCUGCAAUUACUGUGACAUACUUUUUGAUAGGUGACCUAACACAAAUUGGCAGUUAAUAUCUGCAAAUAUACUCUCAGCUCCUAGCUUACACAAACAGGAAAGACAAAUAAAAUCUUCAAAAUGCAAGCCAGGGGCAAAAGCAUGUAAUCAGAACCCAUGCACUGAUACCAGCUUAUUGUGCAUAUUUCUGAGUUACAAGCAUGUUAUAAAACCCAAAAAUAAAAAAAUCCUAUCAUAUGUUCCCAACAAAUGCUAAAGAUCAAAUUAACUAUAAAGCACCUGCUCCCCGGCGUAAAUUAGAGUGGUGCCAAUC
Molecule: unclassified non-coding RNA, 598 nt
Filed under: Hevea brasiliensis (rubber tree)
Lineage: Eukaryota; Viridiplantae; Streptophyta; Magnoliopsida; Malpighiales; Euphorbiaceae
Source: RNAcentral